RNAcentral lists this ribosomal RNA (374 nucleotides) under uncultured organism. Its description in RNAcentral is "bacterial SSU rRNA". It matches the Rfam family "Bacterial small subunit ribosomal RNA", at positions 526 to 896 of the family's 1533-position model. The record is from RNAcentral.
CGUAGGAGGCAAGCGUUAUCCGGAGUUACUGGGCGUAAAGCGCGUGUAGGUGGGUUGGUAAGUUACUUAUAAAAGCCCCUGGCUAAACUGGGGGAGGUUGAGUGAUACUGCCAGUCUUGAAUAGAGGAGAGGUCGACGGAAUUCCGCGUGUAGUGGUGAAAUGCGUAGAGAUGCAGAAGAACACCAGUGGCGAAGGCGGUCAACUGGCCUCAUAUUGACACUCAGACGCGAAGGCAUGGGUAGCGAACGGGAUUAGAAACCCCGGUAGUCCAUGCAAUAAACGAUGCACACUGAAUGUUCGUUGUCCUACGGGGCAAUGAGUGUUGAAGCUAACGCGUUAAGUGUGCCGCCUGGGGAGUACGGUCGCAAGGCUA